Non-coding RNA from Roseiflexus sp. RS-1, 24 nucleotides. The record is from Rfam. NCBI's taxonomy places the organism in Bacteria, Bacillati, Chloroflexota, Chloroflexia, Chloroflexales, Roseiflexaceae.
UGCGAAGCCCGCCUGCGCGGGCGA